RNAcentral lists this ribosomal RNA (489 nucleotides) under Bifidobacterium pseudolongum subsp. pseudolongum. RNAcentral describes it as "bacterial SSU rRNA". It matches the Rfam family "Bacterial small subunit ribosomal RNA", at positions 34 to 520 of the family's 1533-position model. Lineage: Bacteria; Bacillati; Actinomycetota; Actinomycetes; Bifidobacteriales; Bifidobacteriaceae. The record is from RNAcentral.
CGCUGGCGGCGUGCUUAACACAUGCAAGUCGAACGGGAUCCCUGGCAGCUUGCUGCCGGGGUGAGAGUGGCGAACGGGUGAGUAAUGCGUGACCGACCUGCCCCAUGCACCGGAAUAGCUCCUGGAAACGGGUGGUAAUGCCGGAUGUUCCACAUGAGCGCAUGCGAGUGUGGGAAAGGCUUUUGCGGCAUGGGAUGGGGUCGCGUCCUAUCAGCUUGUUGGUGGGGUAACGGCCUACCAAGGCGUUGACGGGUAGCCGGCCUGAGAGGGCGACCGGCCACAUUGGGACUGAGAUACGGCCCAGACUCCUACGGGAGGCAGCAGUGGGGAAUAUUGCACAAUGGGCGCAAGCCUGAUGCAGCGACGCCGCGUGCGGGAUGGAGGCCUUCGGGUUGUAAACCGCUUUUGUUCAAGGGCAAGGCACGGUUUCGGCCGUGUUGAGUGGAUUGUUCGAAUAAGCACCGGCUAACUACGUGCCAGCAGCCGCGG